Molecule: transfer RNA, 117 nt
Filed under: Aeropyrum pernix
Lineage: Archaea; Thermoproteati; Thermoproteota; Thermoprotei; Acidilobales; Acidilobaceae
Description: tRNA-Arg
Rfam family: tRNA
About the family: Transfer RNA (tRNA) molecules are approximately 80 nucleotides in length.
Source: RNAcentral
GGGCCCGUAGCUCAGCCAGGACAGAGCGCCGGCCUUCUAAGCGGGGCCGGGGGCUCGGCCCUACCGAGGCUGCGCGGGGACAGCCGGUGGUCCCGGGUUCAAAUCCCGGCGGGCCCG